This 520-nucleotide ribosomal RNA is filed under the name uncultured bacterium. Its description in RNAcentral is "bacterial SSU rRNA". It matches the Rfam family "Archaeal small subunit ribosomal RNA", at positions 345 to 866 of the family's 1478-position model. The record is from RNAcentral.
AACCUCCGCAAUGUGAGAAAUCGCGACGGGGGGGUCCCAAGUGCCAUUCUUAACGGGAUGGCUUUUCAUUAGUGUAAAAAGCUUUUGGAAUAAGAGCUGGGCAAGACCGGUGCCAGCCGCCGCGGUAACACCGGCAGCUCUAGUGGUAGCAAUUUUUAUUGGGCCUAAAGCGUCCGUAGCCGGUUUAAUAAGUCUCUGGUGAAAUCCUGUAGCUUAACUGUGGGAAUUGCUGGAGAUACUAUUAGACUUGAGACCGGGAGAGGUUAGAGGUACUCCCAGGGUAGAGGUGAAAUUCUGUAAUCCUGGGAGGACCGCCUGUUGCGAAGGCGUCUAACUGGAACGGUUCUGACGGUGAGGGACGAAAGUUAGGGGCGCGAACCGGAUUAGAUACCCGGGUAGUCCUAACUGUAAACGAUGCGGACUUGGUGUUGGGUGGCUUUGAGCUGCUUCAGUGCCGAAGGGAAGCUGUUAAGUCCGCCGCCUGGGAAGUACGGUCGCAAGACUGAAACUUAAAGGAAUU